GGAAGGAAAAGGAGGAAGAAGGUUGCCGUAGGUGAACCUGCGGAAGGAUCAUUCAUAAUAAAGUGUUUUAUGGCACUUUUUAAAAAUCCAUAUCCACCUUGUGUGCAAUGUUAGAUCUCGUCAAUCUUGGCGAGAUUUUUAUACAUCAACUCAUUCUUUAACUAAUUUGUCUGAAAAAUAUUAUGAAUACUUAAUUCAAAAUACAACUUACAACAACGGAUCUCUUGGCUCUC
This 233-nucleotide unclassified non-coding RNA is filed under the name plant metagenome. Its description in RNAcentral is "partial contains small subunit ribosomal RNA and internal transcribed spacer 1". The record is from RNAcentral.